CCUACGGGAGGCAGCAGUGGGGAAUAUUGGACAAUGGGGGCAACCCUGAUCCAGCCAUGCCGCGUGUGUGAAGAAGGCCUUCGGGUUGUAAAGCACUUUAGGUCGGGAGGAAGGUUCGCUGGCUAAUAUCCAGCGGAAUUGACGUUACCGACAGAAUAAGCACCGGCUAACUCCGUGC
Molecule: ribosomal RNA, 178 nt
Filed under: uncultured bacterium
Lineage: Bacteria
Description: partial 16S ribosomal RNA
Rfam family: Bacterial small subunit ribosomal RNA
Source: RNAcentral